Molecule: transfer RNA, 74 nt
Filed under: Ictidomys tridecemlineatus (thirteen-lined ground squirrel)
Lineage: Eukaryota; Metazoa; Chordata; Mammalia; Rodentia; Sciuridae
Description: Spermophilus tridecemlineatus (thirteen-lined ground squirrel) tRNA
Rfam family: tRNA
About the family: Transfer RNA (tRNA) molecules are approximately 80 nucleotides in length. Their secondary structure includes four short double-helical elements and three loops (D, anti-codon, and T loops). Further hydrogen bonds mediate the characteristic L-shaped molecular structure. tRNAs have two regions of fundamental functional importance: the anti-codon, which is responsible for specific mRNA codon recognition, and the 3' end, to which the tRNAs corresponding amino acid is attached (by aminoacyl-tRNA synthetases). tRNAs cope with the degeneracy of the genetic code in two manners: having more than one tRNA (with a specific anti-codon) for a particular amino acid; and 'wobble' base-pairing, i.e. permitting non-standard base-pairing at the 3rd anti-codon position.
Source: Rfam by way of RNAcentral
GGGGAUGUAACUCAGUGGCAGAGUUCUUGCCUAAGAUACAUGAAGCCAUGGAGGUUUAAUCCCCAGUAUCCCCC